UCCGGCCAGUCCAGCCGCGUGUCCCCAAGCCCCACCACCUACCUCAUGUUCCGGGACAAGAGCUGCUCUCUCUGGCAGAACUCGCAGCAGUCCUCCGACAGAAGCAACCUCCCCCCUCUGCCCCUACCACGCCGCAGUGCCAUAAGCGUCACCGGCACUGCCCAGUCGUCGUGUCAGAGGCCACCAUCGUGGGCAUCUGCAAGACCAGGCAGAUCUGGCCCAACGAUGCGGAGGGCACCUUCCAUGGAGACGCAG
RNAcentral lists this long non-coding RNA (255 nucleotides) under Homo sapiens (human). RNAcentral's name for it is "non-protein coding lnc-RSPH14-2:2". The record is from RNAcentral. Lineage: Eukaryota; Metazoa; Chordata; Mammalia; Primates; Hominidae.